This 443-nucleotide ribosomal RNA is filed under the name uncultured bacterium. Its description in RNAcentral is "partial 16S ribosomal RNA". It matches the Rfam family "Bacterial small subunit ribosomal RNA", at positions 338 to 795 of the family's 1533-position model. The record is from RNAcentral.
CCUACGGGAGGCAGCAGUGGGGAAUAUUGGGCAAUGGAGGCAACUCUGACCCAGCAACGCCGCGUGAGCGAUGAAGGUCUUCGGAUUGUAAAGCCCUUUAAGCGGGGACGAAGAAAGUGACUGUUCCCGCAGAAUAAGCCUCGGCUAACUACGUGCCAGCAGCCGCGGUAAUACGUAGGAAGCAAGCGUUACUCGGAAUGACUGGGCGUAAAGGGUGCGUAGGUGGUUUGGCAAGUUGGUAGCGUAAUCCCGGGGCUCAACAUUAGUGCUACUAUCAAAACUGUUGAACUUGAGUUCAGGAGGGGUGAGUGGAAUUCCCAGUGUAGCGGUAGAAUGCGUAGAGAUUGGGAAGAACACCAGCGGCGAAGGCGAUUCACUGGACUGUAACUGACACUGAGGCACGAAAGCGUGGGGAGCAAACAGGAUUAGAUACCCCAGUAGUC